UGCAAGUCGAACGCUGAAGCUCCAGCUUGCUGGGGUGGAUGAGUGGCGAACGGCUUAGUAAUACGUGAGUAACCUGCCCUUGACUCUGGGAUAAGCCUGGGAAACCGGGUCUAAUACUGGAUACGACGUCCUACCGCAUGGUGGGGCGUGGAAAGGGUUUUACUGGUUUUGGAUGGGCUCACGGCCUAUCAGCUUGUUGGUGGGGUAAUGGCCUACCAAGGCGACGACGGGUAGCCGGCCUGAGAGGGUGACCGGCCACACUGGGACUGAGACACGGCCCAGACUCCUACGGGAGGCAGCAGUGGGGAAUAUUGCACAAUGGGCGGAAGCCUGAUGCAGCGACGCCGCGUGAGGGAUGACGGCCUUCGGGUUGUAAACCUCUUUCAGCAGGGAAGAAGCCACAAGUGACGGUACCUGCAGAAGAAGCGCCGGCUAACUACGUGCCAGCAGCCGCGGUAAUACGUAGGGCGCAAGCGUUGUCCGGAAUUAUUGGGCGUAAAGAGCUCGUAGGCGGUUUGUCGCGUCUGCUGUGAAAGCCCGGGGCUCAACCCCGGGUCUGCAGUGGGUACGGGCAGACUAGAGUGCAGUAGGGGAGACUGGAAUUCCUGGUGUAGCGGUGAAAUGCGCAGAUAUCAGGAGGAACACCGAUGGCGAAGGCAGGUCUCUGGGCUGUUACUGACGCUGAGGAGCGAAAGCAUGGGGAGCGAACAGGAUUAGAUACCCUGGUAGUCCAUGCCGUAAACGUUGGGCACUAGGUGUGGGGGACAUUCCACGUUCUCCGCGCCGUAGCUAACGCAUUAAGUGCCCCGCCUGGGGAGUACGGCCGCAAGGCUAAAACUCAAAGGAAUUGACGGGGGCCCGCACAAGCGGCGGAGCAUGCGGAUUAAUUCGAUGCAACGCGAAGAACCUUACCAAGGCUUGACAUCCACCGGACCGCACUGGAGACAGUGCUUCCCUUCGGGGCUGGUGGACAGGUGGUGCAUGGUUGUCGUCAGCUCGUGUCGUGAGAUGUUGGGGUUAAGUCCCGCAACGAGCGCAACCCUCGUUCUAUGUUGCCAGCACGUGGAUGGUGGGGGACUCCUAAGGAG
RNAcentral lists this ribosomal RNA (1088 nucleotides) under Kocuria flava. RNAcentral's name for it is "bacterial SSU rRNA". It matches the Rfam family "Bacterial small subunit ribosomal RNA", at positions 56 to 1147 of the family's 1533-position model. Lineage: Bacteria; Bacillati; Actinomycetota; Actinomycetes; Micrococcales; Micrococcaceae. The record is from RNAcentral.